This 270-nucleotide ribosomal RNA is filed under the name uncultured archaeon. RNAcentral's name for it is "partial 16S ribosomal RNA". It matches the Rfam family "Archaeal small subunit ribosomal RNA", at positions 477 to 747 of the family's 1478-position model. The record is from RNAcentral.
CAGCACCUCAAGUGGUCAGGAUGAUUAUUGGGCCUAAAGCAUCCGUAGCCGGCGCUGUAAGUUUUCGGUUAAAUCUGUACGCUCAACGUACAGGCUGCCGGGAAUACUGCAGCGCUAGGGAGUGGGAGAGGUAGACGGUACUCGGUAGGAAGGGGUAAAAUCCUUUGAUCUAUUGAUGACCACCUGUGGCGAAGGCGGUCUACCAGAACACGUCCGACGGUGAGGGAUGAGAGCUGGGGGAGCAAACCGGAUUAGAUACCCGAGUAGUCC